AACCUCCGCAAUGUGAGAAAUCGCGACGGGGGAAUCCCAAGUGCCAUUCUUAACGGGAUGGCUUUCAUUAGUGUAAAGAGCUUUUGGAAUAAGAGCUGGGCAAGACCGGUGCCAGCCGCCGCGGUAACACCGGCAGCUCUAGUGGUAGCAAUUUUUAUUGGGCCUAAAGCGUCCGUAGCCGGUUUAAUAAGUCUCUGGUGAAAUCCUGCAGCUUAACUGUGGGAAUUGCUGGAGAUACUAUUAGACUUGAGAUCGGGAGAGGUUAGAGGUACUCCCAGGGUAGAGGUGAAAUUCUGUAAUCCUGGGAGGACCGCCUGUUGCGAAGGCGUCUAACUGGAACGAUUCUGACGGUGAGGGACGAAAGUUAGGGGCGCGAACCGGAUUAGAUACCCGGGUAGUCCUAACUGUAAACGAUGCGGACUUGGUGUUGGGGUGGCUUUGAGCUGCUCCAGUGCCGAAGGGAAGCUGUAAGUCCGCCGCCUGGGAAGUACGGUCGCAAGACUGAAACUUAAAGGAAUU
This 519-nucleotide ribosomal RNA is filed under the name uncultured bacterium. Its description in RNAcentral is "bacterial SSU rRNA". It matches the Rfam family "Archaeal small subunit ribosomal RNA", at positions 345 to 866 of the family's 1478-position model. The record is from RNAcentral.